Molecule: ribosomal RNA, 465 nt
Filed under: uncultured bacterium
Lineage: Bacteria
Description: partial 16S ribosomal RNA
Rfam family: Bacterial small subunit ribosomal RNA
Source: RNAcentral
GACGAACGCUGGCGGCGUGCUUAACACAUGCAAGUCGAACGGAAAGGCCCCUUUGGGGGUACUCGAGUGGCGAACGGGUGAGUAACACGUGAGUAACCUGCCCUUGACUUCGGGAUAACUUCAGGAAACUGGGGCUAAUACCGGAUAGGAAUCCUUGCUGCAUGGUGGGGGUUGGAAAGCUUCGGCGGUUUUGGAUGGACUCGCGGCUUAUCAGCUUGUUGGUGGGGUAGUGGCUUACCAAGGCUUUGACGGGUAGCCGGCCUGAGAGGGCGACCGGCCACAUUGGGACUGAGAGACGGCCCAGACUCCGACGGGAGGCAGCAGUGGGGAAUAUUGCACAAUGGGCGGAAGCCUGAUGCAGCAACGCCGCGGGCGGGAGGACGGCCUUCGGGUUGUAAACCGCUUUCAGCAGGGGCGAAGCUUGUGGUGACGGUACCUGCAGAAGAAGCACCGGCUAACUACGUG